RNAcentral lists this transfer RNA (73 nucleotides) under Bacteriophage sp. RNAcentral describes it as "tRNA-OTHER". It matches the Rfam family "tRNA". From Rfam's summary of the family: Transfer RNA (tRNA) molecules are approximately 80 nucleotides in length. Their secondary structure includes four short double-helical elements and three loops (D, anti-codon, and T loops). The record is from RNAcentral. RNAcentral also lists the same sequence under 1 other name.
UCUUAGGUAGCUUCAAUUGGUUAAAGCCCUGGAUUUUACUAGGAGAUUGUGGGUUCGAAUCCCACCCUAAGAA